CGAUUAAUUCGUAUAAAGUUCUAAAUAGAAUAAUGAUAAUGACAAUUUUCUAUUUAUAAGUCUUGACCAAAUUACGUGCCAGCAGUCGCGGUAAUACGUAGAAGACUAGUGUUAGUCAUCUUUAUUAGGUUUAAAGGGUACCUAGACGGUAAAUAACACUUAAAUCGAGUACUUAUUUACUAGAGUUUUAUGUGAGAAGAAAGAACUUCUGGAGUAGUGAUAAAAUACUUUGAUACCAGAGGGACUGGUUACGGCGAAGGCGUUCUUCUAUGUAAAAACUGACGUUGAGGGACGAAGGCUUGGGGAGCAAUAAGGAUUAGAUACCCUAGUAGUCCAAGCAGAAAAUGAUGAAUGUCAUAGGCUAGGUAUCAAACUUAGCCUAUAAAUGAAAGUGUAAGCAUUCCACCUCAAGAGUACUAUGGCAACAUAUAAACU
RNAcentral lists this ribosomal RNA (435 nucleotides) under Talaromyces mimosinus. Its description in RNAcentral is "SSU rRNA". It matches the Rfam family "Bacterial small subunit ribosomal RNA", at positions 414 to 901 of the family's 1533-position model. The record is from RNAcentral. Lineage: Eukaryota; Fungi; Ascomycota; Eurotiomycetes; Eurotiales; Trichocomaceae.